GACGAACGCUGGCGGCGUGCUUAACACAUGCAAGUCACGGGGGCCGCAAGGCAACCGGCGAACGGGUGCGUAACACGUGAACAACCUGCCCUCGUGUGGGGGAGUAGCCAUGCUAACGCGUGGGUAAUACCGCAUACGUUCCCUUGGAGGAGUCUCUGGGGGAGGAAAGCUCCGGCGCACGGGGAGGGGUUCGCGGCCUAUCAGCUAGUUGGCGGGGUAAUGGCCCACCAAGGCGACGACGGGUAGCUGGCUGAGAGGAUGGCCAGCCACAUUGGGACUGAGAGACGGCCAGACUCCUACGGGAGGCAGCAGUGGGGAAUCUUGCGCAAUGGCCGAAAGGCUGACGCAGCGACGCCGCGUGUGGGAUGAAGUCUUAGG
RNAcentral lists this ribosomal RNA (378 nucleotides) under uncultured bacterium. RNAcentral describes it as "bacterial SSU rRNA". It matches the Rfam family "Bacterial small subunit ribosomal RNA", at positions 28 to 420 of the family's 1533-position model. The record is from RNAcentral.